CCCCCAGACUCCUACGGGAGGCAGCAGUGAGGAAUAUUGGUCAAUGGGCGCGAGCCUGAACCAGCCAAGUCGCGUGAGGGAUGACGGCCCUACGGGUUGUAAACCUCUUUUGUCGGGGAGCAAAUUCCGCCACGUGUGGCGGAGUCGAGAGUACCCGAAGAAAAAGCAUCGGCUAACUCCGUGCCAGCAGCCGCGGUAAUACGGAGGAUGCGAGCGUUAUCCGGAUUUAUUGGGUUUAAAGGGUGCGUAGGCGGACUGUCAAGUCAGCGGUAAAAUACGGGGGCUCAACCCCGUCCGGCCGUUGAAACUGGGGGCCUUGAGUGGGCGAGAAGAAGGCGGAAUGCGUGGUGUAGCGGUGAAAUGCAUAGAUAUCACGCAGAACCCCGAUUGCGAAGGCAGCCUUCCGGCGCCCUACUGACGCUGAGGCACGAAAGUGCGGGGAUCGAACAGGAUUAGAUACCCUAGUA
Molecule: ribosomal RNA, 467 nt
Filed under: uncultured bacterium
Lineage: Bacteria
Description: bacterial SSU rRNA
Rfam family: Bacterial small subunit ribosomal RNA
Source: RNAcentral